CUGUGUCUGUAGCAAACCUCUGUGACUGACAGGAUGUUGAUAUGAAGCUGUGUCUGUAUACCUCUGUGACUGACAGGAUGUUGAUAUGAAGCUGUGUCUGUAGCAAACCUCUGUGACUGUCAGGAUGUUGAUAUGAAGCUGUGUCUGUAGCAAACCUCUGUGACAGGAUGUUGAUAUGAAGCUGUGUCUGUAGCAAACCUCUGUGACUGACAGGAUGUUGAUAUGAAGCUGUGUCUGUAUACCUCUGUGACUGACAGGAUGUUGAUAUGAAGCUGUGUCUGUAGCAAACCUCUGUGACUGUCAGGAUGUUGAUAUGAAGCUCUGUCUGUAGCAAACCUCUGUGACAGGAUACUGCAGUGUUGUUGACAUCAGGGAAAACCAAAGGGAGAAAUAGCAGAGUGGCUGUUGACGUUGAGAAUAAGCCAAAGACAACACUCAGUUAGCUUCUCUUCAAAGCAGAGCAAGACAGCAAUUCCAAAGUGCAUUGUGUUUGGGUGAAGCAUACACAAAUCAGACACUUCUUUUACAUCAAUAUCCACAAACUAUCUCUUCUCUGUAACCCUGAUAUACAUCUCUCUGUCCAUCUCACUUCUCACGCUGGAUAUUACAUAGGGGAUAUCACAUAGGGAUUAUUACAUAGGGGAUAUUAGAUAGGGGAUAUUACAUAGGUGAUAUUACAUAGGGAUUAUUACAUAGGGGAUAUUACAUAGGGGAUAUUACAUAGGGAUUAUUACAUAGGGGAUAUUACAUAGGGAUAUUACAUAGGGGAUAUUACAUAGGGAUUAUUACAUAGGGGAUAUUACAUAGGGGAUAUUACAUAGGGAUUAUUACAUAGGGGAUAUUACAUAGGGAUUAUUAAAUAGGGAUUAUUACAUAGGGGAUAUUACAUAGGGGAUAUUAUAUAGGGAUUAUUACAUAGGGAUUAUUACAUAGGGGAUAUUACAUAGGGGAUAUUACAUAGGGAUUAUUACAUAGGGAUUAUUACAUAGGGGAUAUUACAUAGGGGAUAUUAUAUAGGGAUUAUUACAUAGGGGAUAUUACAUAGGGAUUAUUACAUAGGGGAUAUUAUAUAGGGGAUAUUAUAUAGGGGAUAUUAUAUAGGGAUUAUUACAUAGGGAUUAUUACAUAGGGGAUAUUACAUAGGGGAUAUUACAUAGGAGAUAUUAAAUAGGGGAUAUUAGAUAGGGGAUAUUACAUAGGAGAUAUUAAAUAGGGGAUAUUAGAUAGGAGAUAUUACAUAGGAGAUAUUACAUAGGAGAUAUUACAUAUCCAGCCUGAGCCUCCUAACUCCGUACCACAGAAUUUAAUAAACCACUGUGACUUCCCAGCAAACCAAUAACUGAUUCUGUAGAAUUUCGCAAAAGAUUUGUUACAUUGCAGCAAUGCUCUCGGUCAGAUCAUACUGAGGAUUAUUAGAGACAUGAGUUACAGGGAGUUGUCUGGUAUUCACAUGUUGUUCUUUAAGAAGUUACGCAGAACUUUCCCACAGUGUUCCACAUUUUCCAAAUAAGCCUGUUUUAAUGAUGUUCAUUGCAGGGUUAACAUAAUGUACCAUUGGUAUGUUAACACUUUAUUUGACACCUAGUGUCAUAACCAUGUCAUGAUACGGUCAUAACCAUGUCAUGAUACGGUCAUAACCAUG
This is a long non-coding RNA of Oncorhynchus tshawytscha (Chinook salmon), 1642 nucleotides long. The record is from Ensembl. NCBI's taxonomy places the organism in Eukaryota, Metazoa, Chordata, Actinopteri, Salmoniformes, Salmonidae.